GCUGGCGGCGUGCCUAAUACAUGCAAGUCGAACGGUCUUUCUAUGGAAGCUUGCUUCCACUGAGAAGAUAGUGGCGAACGGGUGAGUAACACGUGGGUAACCUGCCCAUAAGAGGAGGAUAACAUCCGGAAACGGGUGCUAAUACCGCAUAGUUUUUCUUGAUCGCAUGAUCGGGAAAGGAAAGACGGCCUUUGUGCUGUCGCUUAUGGAUGGACCCGCGGCGUAUUAGUUAGUUGGUGAGGUAACGGCUCACCAAGACGAUGAUACGUAGCCGACCUGAGAGGGUGAUCGGCCACAUUGGGACUGAGACACGGCCCAAACUCCUACGGGAGGCAGCAGUAGGGAAUCUUCCGCAAUGGACGAAAGUCUGACGGAGCAACGCCGCGUGAGUGAAAGAAGGUUUUCGGAUCGUAAAACUCUGUUGUCAGAGAAGAACAAGUUGGAGAGUAACUGCUCCAGCCUUGACGGUAUCUGACCAGAAAGCCACGGCUAACUACGUGCCAGCCGCCGC
This 511-nucleotide ribosomal RNA is filed under the name uncultured bacterium. RNAcentral's name for it is "bacterial SSU rRNA". It matches the Rfam family "Bacterial small subunit ribosomal RNA", at positions 35 to 518 of the family's 1533-position model. The record is from RNAcentral.